UGAAGCUCCCCUUUAUGACUUUGGUUAAUUAUUCUUUAAAUGAAGCUUCCACCAAAACCUGCAAUCACCUCCUCGCCGCUCCACAGCCGCCGCUGCACCUGCAAGUGUGGAUUAUGUGCAAUCAAUCGUAUGUAUAUGGUGGUUGGCUUGAGGUAGCACCGUCAAAGAGCAAGGGAGUGUGCCUUUCCUCUCUAACAUAGUGGUGACUAGCUGCAUGAAUCCUUCACAUUGGGCCAGUAUUCUAUUUCUGUCCAUAAAGUUAUGUUUUAUUUUGCAAUUUAGUUUUUGAAAAAGAAUAUGCUUCCACCACCGUCGCCACCCGUACUUUCUACUGCCAGUGCAAAGGUUGACUUACCUUACGGGGACGUGAAGAAGGAAUUAGAAGACCGUGGAAGCAGAACUCAAAAUUUGAUAGAUUUUCUCUACAAAGAAAUCUACCUUCUACAUUUGAGGGGAAAUAUGCUUGAAGUGUGCUGCAACAGUGUUAUUGGGGUGUAGACGUGAAAGCGAGCGGAUUGAAGAAUCAGUAAGCAACACUAGUAUAACGAAGAUGCUAACGAUGAAGAAGUGGAUGAUGGCAGUGACGAUAACACGGAUAUCAUGUAGAAUUAUGACAUUUUAUAUGUUAAGUAGUCUUGUGACGUGUUUGUGACUUUAAAUGAAAACGGAUUGUGACAUUUUUGACAUUUAUGUAGUUUAUGUUCAUCUAGUUUUGUGUGUCGUGAA
Helianthus annuus (common sunflower) is the source of this 726-nucleotide long non-coding RNA. RefSeq lists it as uncharacterized. The record is from RefSeq and is a predicted model, not a curated record. The transcript has 5 exons. Lineage: Eukaryota; Viridiplantae; Streptophyta; Magnoliopsida; Asterales; Asteraceae.